ACGAGCACUGACCGUCCAAUCCUUAAAUUUCUUGUCUAUAUCCGAAUACCUUAUAUUAGAAAUCUUAAAUCCAUAUAAAAGCAUGCAAAGAUAAAAAAAUCACAUAUUACAUAGAUCAUCUAUCCUAGUCCUCGCUGGAGAUGUCGAUUAUCUUUGUGUCCGACUCCGGGUACAUUGGUGACAACUGUAGCUCAGGCUCCUGCAACUCCUCCGGCUCCUCGGCAUCGACCUUCACAUCCAUAUACGUGUCGAGUUCGGCGAAAAAAAGCAUCCGUCGCCCGCUCCUGUUGGAUGAAGCGGCGGUUGGCCUUCACAUAGGACUCAUCAUGGAUGGACUCCAUGAUGACAUGCUGCUUCGCCAUCUCCUGCGCUUGAGCGACGACGAACCC
RNAcentral lists this long non-coding RNA (389 nucleotides) under Hordeum vulgare. Its description in RNAcentral is "long non-coding RNA (HVUL_LNC016725)". Lineage: Eukaryota; Viridiplantae; Streptophyta; Magnoliopsida; Poales; Poaceae. The record is from RNAcentral.